Molecule: ribosomal RNA, 497 nt
Filed under: uncultured bacterium
Lineage: Bacteria
Description: partial 16S ribosomal RNA
Rfam family: Bacterial small subunit ribosomal RNA
Source: RNAcentral
GAUGAACGCUGGCGGCGUGCCUAAUACAUGCAAGUCGAGCGAACAGACGAGGAGCUUGCUCCUUCGACGUUAGCGGCGGACGGGUGAGUAACACGUAGAUAACCUACCUAUAAGACUGGGAUAACUUCGGGAAACCGGAGCUAAUACCGGAUAAUAUUUCGAACCGCAUGGUUCAAUAGUGAAAGAUGGCUUUGCUGUCACUUAUAGAUGGAUCUGCGCCGCAUUAGCUAGUUGGUAAGGUAACGGCUUACCAAGGCAACGAUGCGUAGCCGACCUGAGAGGGUGAUCGGCCACACUGGAACUGAGACACGGUCCAGACUCCUACGGGAGGCAGCAGUAGGGAAUCUUCCGCAAUGGGCGAAAGCCUGACGGAGCAACGCCGCGUGAGUGAUGAAGGUCUUCGGAUCGUAAAACUCUGUUAUUAGGGAAGAACAAAUGUGUAAGUAACUGUGCACGUCUUGACGGUACCUAAUCAGAAAGCCACGGCUAACUACGUG